Molecule: ribosomal RNA, 454 nt
Filed under: uncultured bacterium
Lineage: Bacteria
Description: bacterial SSU rRNA
Rfam family: Bacterial small subunit ribosomal RNA
Source: RNAcentral
UACGGGAGGCAGCAGUGGGGAAUAUUGCACAAUGGGCGAAAGCCUGAUGCAGCGUAUGCCGCGUGUAUGAAGAAGGCCUUAGGGUUGUAAAGUACUUUCAUCGGGGAGGAAAAACAAAACUAAUAAUUUUAUUUCUUGACGUUACCCGAAAAAGAAGCACCGGCUAACUCCGUGCCAGCAGCCGCGGUAAUACGGAGGGUGCUAGCGUUAAUCAGAAUUACUGGGCGUAAAGAGCACGUAGGUGGUUUUUUUAAGUCAGAUGUGAAAUCCCUGGGCUUAACCUAGGAACUGCAUUUUGAAACUGAAAUACUAGAGUAUCGUAGAGGGAGGUAGAAUUCUAGGUGUAGCGGUGAAAUGCGUAGAUAUCUGGAGGAAUACCUGUGGCGAAAGCGGCCUCCUAAACGAAUACUGACACUGAGGUGCGAAAGCGUGGGGAGCAAACAGGGAUUAGAUA